Molecule: long non-coding RNA, 1596 nt
Organism: Anguilla rostrata (American eel)
Lineage: Eukaryota; Metazoa; Chordata; Actinopteri; Anguilliformes; Anguillidae
Exons: 7
Source: RefSeq, a predicted model, not a curated record
GAGUUUAGCUUAUCUGCAAACAAAAAUACAAAGAAAAAAACUGGCAGCAAGAAAAAGGUUGUAAAAACAUAAUUUCCUUCUAGAGGAGGGGGAAACAGGACCAAAUCAUGCCUGAUCCGGCAGUGCUACCACAUGAUCUUAUGUUUAGUCUUUGAUUAAUUGAAAUCUCUGUCAUAGGGUUUUUCUCCUUACAUAGAUGGGUCCUGGGUUUAACCAUCGCUGCUGCAGUUUUUGCAGUUUUAAGCUGCAUUCCUGCUCUUCGGUGUAUUAUCAAAGAUGUGGACAGUAUUCCGUUCCUACUUUGCCUUCAAAUCUCAGUUCCAUGUAUCCUGAUAUCCAUCGCAUUCGCCAUAUGGGGUUAUAUUGAAGGCUCUGUCGGAGAGGCUUUUGUUGGCAGUGCUAUAAAUUUCAUGAGGAUCCCAAUUUUAGGUUGGGUGGUUCCACCUAAAUAUGAAUGGCAUGGUACACGUUGCGAAAUAUUCACAUACAUGGCUCUGCCUUUGGACAAUUUUGUCAUUACAACAGGGAUCAAUUCUGUUGUUCUCCAGACGUUUUUUAUACACUGUGCCCCAUAUUCAGAAGCAAAAACAUUAACUGGAAUUCUUUUUGGAAUUGUGUUAUUGUCAUCAUUUAUUUCAUUGGCAGUUAAUUCAGUGUCAAAGGGUCGACGUACAUGUGUAGUUUUUUUAUUUCACACCUUUACCAUUUCGGCGGAAAUAGCAUUUCUGAUUUUCACACAUGGUUUGGGUUAUUCCUCAUCCGAACUCCCUGCAUUGAUGUGUUUCAUGGCAGUCCACUUCAUCAUGCAUGCAACAUCAUUCUUUCGGCUCACGUGGUGGUUACCAGGUACAGUAUCAUUUAAUUGAUGUGGUGACCAACACCUGAGGAACACACUCAGGAACCCCAAAGGAUAAGAGGUCAACAGCGGGUCCAAUAAGUGACAAUCUAUUUACCGGAGAGCAUCUCAUGGGCCGUCCAAGAGAACUCUGAGUAAUCUUCCUGAUACAUUCGUCUUUUAUUGGCAACAAUCAGUAACCCCUCACAUUGGUCACACCCAUAGAACGUAUUCAUCAAUUUCUUCUCAUCACGUUGAUAAUUAUUCAUCAUCGAACGCAACUCUCCCCUCAUCUGGCCUUGAAGUGGCUGCACCUGUCUGUACAAUUGGUAUUAGGACAGGCGUGAAAGAACAAUAGCAAGGGAUCUGAGGCUACCAGAUGAGCAGAAGACACAGGGGAACACAUAGGAUUAUACCAGGGCGGUAGUGUAGUAUGAUGGGUAAGGAGUUGGUCUUGCAAUCCAAAGGUCGCUGGUUCAAUUCCCAGGUUGGACACUGUUGUUGCAGGGGAAAAUUAGUAAAAGAAAAAUAAUUCAAAAUGAAAUAAACAUUUAAUGAAUUGGUGUGUGUAAUAGUAAAAAAACAAUUUUCCCUCUGAAAAUCAAGAAGGGCAAGUAUUUUUGCUUUAAGUUUACACACUUACUAAAACAGAUCUCAUUGCUUUUCAGCUGUUCCUCAUAUCCUAGUAUAUGUGUUUGGUUCUGCUGUCCUAAGUGUCCUUAAUUCAGUUGCUCUAGCAACAGAAGUAAUUCUGAAAGCAG